Molecule: ribosomal RNA, 404 nt
Filed under: uncultured bacterium
Lineage: Bacteria
Description: partial 16S ribosomal RNA
Rfam family: Bacterial small subunit ribosomal RNA
Source: RNAcentral
GAUGAACGCUGACAGAAUGCUUAACACAUGCAAGUCAACUGUGGCGGACGGGUUAGUAACGCGUAGAGAACUUGCCUCACAGAUAGGGACAACAUUUGGAAACGAAUGCUAAUACCUGAUACUGUGAGAGAGCUUUGCGUCCCAUUAGCUAGUUGGAGAGGUAACGGCUCACCAAGGCGAUGAUGGGUAGCCGGCCUGGGAGGGUGAGCGGGCACAAGGGGACAGGGACACGGGCAUUAGGCAAACGGGAGGCAGGAGUGGAGAAUUGUGGACAAUGGACCGAAGUGUGAUGCAGCAAUUCGGUGUGCAAGAUUAAGUUGUCGGAAUGUAAAGGGCUUUCAGUUGGGAAGCGGUACCAACAGAAGAAGUGACGGCUAAAUACGUGCCAGCAGCCGCGGUAAUUC